CCUGACUGACCGAUAGUGAUCAAGUACCGUGAGGGAAAGGCGAAAAGAACCCCGGCGAGCGGAGUGAAAAAGAACCUGAAACCGUGUACGUACAAGCAGUGGGAGCACCUUCCGGUGUGACUGCGUACCUUUUGUAUAAUGGGUCAGCGACUUAUAUUCUGUAGCAAGGUUAACCGAAUAGGGGAGCGGCAGGGAAACCGAGUCUUAACUGGGCGUUUAGUUGCAGGGUAUAGACCCGAAACCCGGUGAACAAGCGAUGGGCAGGUUGAAGGUUGGGUAACACUAACUGGAGG
Molecule: ribosomal RNA, 293 nt
Filed under: Klebsiella pneumoniae
Lineage: Bacteria; Pseudomonadati; Pseudomonadota; Gammaproteobacteria; Enterobacterales; Enterobacteriaceae
Description: partial 23S ribosomal RNA
Rfam family: Bacterial large subunit ribosomal RNA
Source: RNAcentral